AGGGCUGGUACCUGCGGUUAUUCCACAGGCUAGUUAAUAACAUGUCAGGCAGGAAAUCCAAAGUGUGGGAUCAUUUUGAGAAGGUGAAGGACGAACCCAAGGUGAUAUGUAAACUCAUCUUCAUUGGUCGACUACAAACAUGACGUAUCAUCUAAAACAUGGAAGUAGCUACAUGCCCUUUAGCCGACAGCGUCAUUAACAGGCGGCUCGCUCAGUGUGUGACGUGCACUUGUAGAUAAAAUAUAGGCCUAUAUUAAUGAAGGUUCAUUAGUACGGUUUUGUAUUUCUCUGUAAUGUAGCACAGUGUUAACAAUGUUACUGAUACUGUUCUUUCUCACACCUUCAACUCAAACCAUUGUGUUGCCCCGCCCAAAAUAUAUAUACUUUGAUAAUUAGAUGAAUAUGGUAAAUAUGCAGACUAGGGUUAGGGGGGUUGAGUUAGGGUUAGGGUUAGUUGACUUAUGGCCCAAAUGACAACUAUUGGUGGACUAGGAAAAUUCUUAGUCCGGGGCAGCCCUAGCAUAUCAAAAAGAAAACUAUGAUGAAAAAGUAAGAAACUAGGUUCUGCUCUUUAAAGUUUCCCACUAAACCAAAACAAAGUGUCAGUCAAAGCAUGUUUAAGUUUCCACUCUAUGUCGUAAUCAGGUGGCACCAUUUACCAAAUAUUAUAACACCUGCAUUUUAUUUAGAUUUCAUUUUGAUACACGCAUAUAUAUUUUGCUUGCAUCUUUAAUUUAUAAAGUCUCAGAGGUAUUCGGUUGCACAUCGGGAGUUUAGUCAGCCUCCUGUACAAUAUCAAGAAACAACUUUAAUAUGUCAUAUCAUGAAGAAAAAAAAGCUUCCGUACAAAUAAUCUGUGUCUUGUUAUUUUAACUCCAACCGGAGCCCUGUUUUAUAGAGAUUUUAAAAGAAAGAACAACUUUAAACUGAGCCAUUGCACCUCAAUACAAACACAAUGUAGUGUUUAUUUUAAAGCAGAUAAAUAUAUAAUAAAGUUUGAAAAGUUUAAAAACGUACAUCCUAGCUCCGUCUGCAAAGUAAUGCCUUUACCUCAACAGUGGUGUUUAAAACUGUAGAUAUUGUUUUGCACAUUCACAUAUUUUAACCACUUCUAAUAUAAUCAUAGUGGAGAGCAUGUGACUAUAAUGGAAACGAGAAAAUAUACAUAUAAAGCUCACUUUAAUAAGAUGGUAUAUAUCGGAAUGUGGAGCUGUUGUAAUAGAAACAUGGCAUGAUGAUUGUAUGGUUAAAUGGGAAAUGUAUCGGUAGUGUGUUUAGUUGAUCAUUUAUUUGGUUGGAGCACUUUAAUGUUAAAAAUAUAUAUAUUAUCUUGAUAAAAAUCACUAUUAAAUGUCCACUUUUACAUGUUGCAGCAUGUGAGCUUUGGUACUCUCUGAAUGUCUUAUGUUUUAACUAUGUUGUGAUGACAGGCUGUCGUAGAGUGACGUCUCUAUGAUACCUCUCGUGUCUUAAACUAGCUCGCUGUGUCAUCCAGGUGUUGGAGAGUGCUUCCAAAUCUGGUGACUCGGCCAGUCCUGGUUUCAGACAAUGUUUUUAAAAAAACGCAGAUCUUGGUUUAGGCCUAUUACUCUACUUUUUUGUUUGUUUUUAUCAUUUGUGAUACUAUUUUCCAACAUUAUAUGUAAUGUGUGAUUUCCUCAAAUAUCAGUACGGUCAUUAAACACAAACAAGCUGUAAAGAACAACAAUAAAAUGGUGAUUGGUUUUUUGUUUUCUUUUUAAAGUAGGCAAAAUACAUAAACCUUUCCUGGGACGCCACUGUCUGUGUGUGAUCGUGUAUGUUAACGUUGACCCAUGUGGUGAUGUCAGGUUAACAUUUGGGCGGAUUUAGUGCAGGAAGGUUUUGUCGGCAAUAUGAAGUCAGAUACAUAAUGUAUAUUGUAUAUACUGUAUUUCUCAGAAACAAUGGAACAAAUAAAAACAUGAAUACUGUGUCAUGUACUAGGCAGAUUCAUCAUUGUGCAUCACUGUUUACCAUCUCUGGCUAUGAGUUUGCCCUGAGUAGUUGCUCUUGUAUCACUUUGAAAUGAUAGUGAACACCAAACUAAUGCUUGCAUUGUGCUGCCUGUUAUCAAGCAGCUGUCAUUACAUUAUGUAUUUUAAAUAAAGAUGAUUUAGGAAAAUGCCA
Long non-coding RNA from Epinephelus fuscoguttatus (brown-marbled grouper), 2148 nucleotides. RefSeq lists it as uncharacterized. The record is from RefSeq and is a predicted model, not a curated record. The transcript is spliced from 2 exons. Lineage: Eukaryota; Metazoa; Chordata; Actinopteri; Perciformes; Serranidae.